AUUGAACGCUGGCGGCAGGCCUAACACAUGCAAGUCGAACGGUAACAGGAAGCAGCUUGCUGCUUCGCUGACGAGUGGCGGACGGGUGAGUAAUGUCUGGGAAGCUACCUGAUGGAGGGGGAUAACUACUGGAAACGGUAGCUAAUACCGCAUAAUGUCGCAAGACCAAAGAGGGGGACCUUCGGGCCUCUUGCCAUCGGAUGUGCCCAGAUGGGAUUAGCUUGUUGGUGGGGUAACGUCUCACCAAGGCGACGAUCCCUAGCUGGUCUGAGAGGAUGACCAGCCACACUGGAACUGAGACACGGUCCAGACUCCUACGGGAGGCAGCAGUGGGGAAUAUUGCACAAUGGGCGCAAGCCUGAUGCAGCCAUGCCGCGUGUAUGAAGAAGGCCUUCGGGUUGUAAAGUACUUUCAGCGGGGAGGAAGGGAGUAAAGUUAAUACCUUUGCUCAUUGACGUUACCCGCAGAAGAAGCACCGGCUAACUCCGUG
Molecule: ribosomal RNA, 490 nt
Filed under: uncultured bacterium
Lineage: Bacteria
Description: partial 16S ribosomal RNA
Rfam family: Bacterial small subunit ribosomal RNA
Source: RNAcentral